Molecule: transfer RNA, 71 nt
Filed under: Vermiviatum covidum
Lineage: Eukaryota; Metazoa; Platyhelminthes; Tricladida; Geoplanidae
Description: tRNA-Ser
Source: RNAcentral
GACACAACUUCUUAAAAAGAAAAAAAUAUUUUGAAAAUAUUUUUCGAAAUUUUUGAAAAUUUCUUGUUUCU